Molecule: ribosomal RNA, 484 nt
Filed under: uncultured bacterium
Lineage: Bacteria
Description: partial 16S ribosomal RNA
Rfam family: Bacterial small subunit ribosomal RNA
Source: RNAcentral
AUUGAACGCUGGCGGCAUGCCUUACACAUGCAAGUCGAACGGUAACGGGUCCUUCGGGAUGCCGACGAGUGGCGAACGGGUGAGUAAUAUAUCGGAACGUGCCCAGUAGUGGGGGAUAACUGCUCGAAAGAGCAGCUAAUACCGCAUACAACCUGAGGGUGAAAGGGGGGGAUCGCAAGACCUCUCGCUAUUGGAGCGGCCGAUAUCAGAUUAGCUAGUUGGUGGGGUAAAGGCCUACCAAGGCAACGAUCUGUAGUUGGUCUGAGAGGACGACCAGCCACACUGAGACUGAGACACGGCCCAGACUCCUACGGGAGGCAGCAGUGGGGAAUUUUGGACAAUGGGCGCAAGCCUGAUCCAGCAAUGCCGCGUGCAGGAAGAAGGCCUUCGGGUUGUAAACUGCUUUUGUCAGGGAAGAAAUCUUCUGGGCUAAUACCCCGGGAGGAUGACGGUACCUGAAGAAUAAGCACCGGCUAACUACGUG